GACGAACGCUGGCGGCGUGCCUAACACAUGCAAGUCGAACGGUAACGGGAAGAAGCUUGCUUCUUUGCUGACGAGUGGCGGACGGGUGAGUAAUGUCUGGGAAACUGCCUGAUGGAGGGGGAUAACUACUGGAAACGGUAGCUAAUACCGCAUAACGUCGCAAGACCAAAGAGGGGGACCUUCGGGCCUCUUGCCAUCGGAUGUGCCCAGAUGGGAUUAGCUAGUUGGUGGGGUAACGGCUCACCAAGGCGACGAUCCCUAGCUGGUCUGAGAGGAUGACCAGCCACACUGGAACUGAGACACGGUCCGGACUCCUACGGGAGGCAGCAGUGGGGAAUAUUGCACAAUGGGCGCAAGCCUGAUGCAGCCAUGCCGCGUGUAUGAAGAAGGCCUUCGGGUUGUAAAGUACUUUCAGCGGGGAGGAAGGGAGUAAAGUUAAUACCUUUGCUCAUUGACGUUACCCGCAGAAGAAGCACCGGCUAACUCCGUGCCAGCAGCCGCCGUAA
This 506-nucleotide ribosomal RNA is filed under the name uncultured bacterium. RNAcentral's name for it is "partial 16S ribosomal RNA". It matches the Rfam family "Bacterial small subunit ribosomal RNA", at positions 28 to 523 of the family's 1533-position model. The record is from RNAcentral.